Regulatory RNA element from Rahnella aquatilis, 73 nucleotides. It matches the Rfam family "PyrD leader". NCBI's taxonomy places the organism in Bacteria, Pseudomonadati, Pseudomonadota, Gammaproteobacteria, Enterobacterales, Yersiniaceae. The record is from Rfam.
UUUCCAAUUGUCCGGCGCUUAGUCAAUAAUACCGCCCCGUCUAGCCACCGGGAAUCCAGGAGUUUCCAUGUAU